This 64-nucleotide transfer RNA is filed under the name Eophileurus chinensis. RNAcentral's name for it is "tRNA-Ile". Lineage: Eukaryota; Metazoa; Arthropoda; Insecta; Coleoptera; Scarabaeidae. The record is from RNAcentral.
AAUGAAGUGUCUGAAUAAAGAGCUAUUUUGAUAGAGUAGAAAAUGUGAAAUUUCACCUUCAUUA